UACGUAGGGAGCAAGCGUUGUUCGGAUUUACUGGGCGUAAAGGGCGCGUAGGCGGCGCGGUAAGUCACUUGUGAAAUCUCUGAGCUUAACUCAGAACGGCCAAGUGAUACUGCAGUGCUAGAGUGCAGAAGGGGCAAUCGGAAUUCUUGGUGUAGCGGUGAAAUGCGCAGAUAUCAGGAGGAACACCGGUGGCGAAGGCGGUUCUCUGGGCAUGUCCUGACGCUGAGGAGCGAAAGUGUGGGGAGCGAACAGG
This 253-nucleotide ribosomal RNA is filed under the name uncultured bacterium. RNAcentral's name for it is "partial 16S ribosomal RNA". It matches the Rfam family "Bacterial small subunit ribosomal RNA", at positions 524 to 776 of the family's 1533-position model. The record is from RNAcentral.